GCCGCUGUAGCUCAACGGACAGAGCAGGGGUUUCCUAAACCUCAGAUGUAGGUUCGACUCCUACCAGUGGCG
This 72-nucleotide transfer RNA is filed under the name Candidatus Woesebacteria bacterium. Its description in RNAcentral is "tRNA-Arg". It matches the Rfam family "tRNA". Rfam says of the family: Transfer RNA (tRNA) molecules are approximately 80 nucleotides in length. Their secondary structure includes four short double-helical elements and three loops (D, anti-codon, and T loops). The record is from RNAcentral. Lineage: Bacteria; Candidatus Woeseibacteriota.